UAACAGAUGAGCCCAGGUCGGAUUAGCUAGUUGGUGGGGUAAAGGCUCACCAAGGCGACGAUCCGUAGCUGGUCUGAGAGGAUGAUCAGCCACACUGGAACUGAGACACGGUCCAGACUCCUACGGGAGGCAGCAGUGGGGAAUAUUGGACAAUGGGCGAAAGCCUGAUCCAGCCAUGCCGCGUGUGUGAAGAAGGCCUUCGGGUUGUAAAGCACUUUAAGCGGGGAGGAAGUACUUGGGGCUAAUACUCCUGAGUGUUGACGUUACCCGCAGAAUAAGCACCGGCUAACUCUGUGCCAGCAGCCGCGGUAAUACAGAGGGUGCAAGCGUUAAUCGGAAUUACUGGGCGUAAAGCGCGCGUAGGCGGUUUGUUAAGUCGGAUGUGAAAUCCCCGGGCUCAACCUGGGCACGGCAUCCGAUACUGGCUGACUAGAGUGUGGGAGAGGAAGGUAGAAUUCCAGGUGUAGCGGUGAAAUGCGUAGAGAUCUGGAGGAAUACCGAUGGCGAAGG
Molecule: ribosomal RNA, 510 nt
Filed under: uncultured bacterium
Lineage: Bacteria
Description: bacterial SSU rRNA
Rfam family: Bacterial small subunit ribosomal RNA
Source: RNAcentral